AAAAUAUUCGGACCGUCGAUCUAUCGAGCAAUAACACCCGUUCGGUGGAAGAUCUUCCCUUAGUUUU
RNAcentral lists this microRNA precursor (67 nucleotides) under Bombyx mori (domestic silkworm). RNAcentral's name for it is "mir-2774 microRNA precursor family". It matches the Rfam family "mir-2774 microRNA precursor family". Lineage: Eukaryota; Metazoa; Arthropoda; Insecta; Lepidoptera; Bombycidae. The record is from Rfam by way of RNAcentral.